CCAUACUCUCGCAGUUACUUAUUUUUAGCUCUUGGAGCUGCAAUAGACUACCAACCAUGCAACUAGUGAAAACAUGUCCAAGAAAUCGACAUCUUUUAAUUGAGACCUUUGUAAGGUUUGGAAAGUUCAACACUAUCCACCGAUUGCUCUUCCACAUAUGUUUCAGGUUACGUAGUCCAUCCAGAGCCACCUCUUUUAGCUUCUCAAAUACCACAACAGAUUGUGUUUCAAUAUCCACAUCUUCAUUUGUCCCUUCUGCUACUUCAAAUACCUCCUCUGCUACAGAUUCAUAUGCAUUGGUAAUAGAAAGCUUUUCAAGAUUCUUCAAAUUAAGCAACUCCUUGCAUGGAAAAAUCACGCGGCUUUCCAACAAUUUGCCAUUCCAUUGUGCAUCUACUUCAACUAAAUUUGAAAAAGACCACGGGAACUGAACUAGCUUUAUCAUAUCUGGAGUAGAGCACAUAGGGAGUUGAGUCUGCUUAGAAAAAACAAACAUAGAUCAUCUCAAACACUACAAUUAUAAAGGACAAAUACAUUUAGUAUAUAAACAUAGUAAAGGAUUGCAAGUUCUAUUAUUUUUAAACGAGCCAACAUGUAUUUCCAAUCAACAACCUAGUUUAUGGCACUGCUUACAUUAUUUUCUGAGAAGAUGAGCACUGUGAAGAAAAAUUCUGAUUUAUACAUUGCAUUUGUUUAAACAAUUUAGAUUUUAUCGAUGAUUGUCGAUUUGUUUAAACAAUUCAGAUUUUAUCAAUGAUCGAGCUUUUUAAAUAAAAGAAAAAAAUUAAAUAUUUGUGUUUGUGUGUGUGUGUGUGUGGGGUGGGCGGAUAAAAUAAAAAGUAAAACUGUAAAAGUUAAGUGUUUUGGCUACUUCAAAUAGGUAGUUUUUCAUGUACUGAAUGUUUACAUCCAAGUUUUUUAGGAAAAAAGAUAACUAUGUUAUUGUAUUUUUAUUGCAUUGUCAAAUACAACAAAUGAUAUAUGGAUGAUAUGCUUAUACUUUUACAAUCAUCUCAGCAAUACUAUUUUUGUCAAAUUUAGGUAAUAAACGCUACAUAAAUGUUUAGCUUGUCGAAGAUGAGAGAGAAAAGAACAACUUGAUUAAGUAACUACUAACAUCACAACACUAGAAAAUAUGUGAGAUAAUUGGAUUAAACUGGAUUAAAACGAUAUAAAUGAUUCAAUUACAAAAUAUAGCUCCAUACAAAAAUCUAUUUGUUAAUAGAUAUGAGUGAAAAUAUGUAAAAUAAGCUAAUGCUUUUAUUUCCAUCUAUUUUGUGUUUUUUUCUUAACCGAAUGAAGUUGUUUGUUCUAAGUUCCUAAUUAAUGAUUUAUAAACUUUCAAAUGAUUUGAAUAAGAAUGAACUUGCCAAGUAUCAUUUGUAAUACACAAGAAAAUAGUUUUUUAUAUUCAUAUAUUUGAUAUAAAUUCUUAAAUCUUCUGUUUUCAAGGAAAGAAACUAUUAUGUGAAUUUUAGAAGCCCUUUUUCUUAGGUGCUUAUUUUGUUAUGCCUUUAGUCGAAUACUUGCCCAGACUCCAAACCUUCAAGCCACUAGUUAGAUUUGUUUGUUUUUUCGGUCCAUGCGUUUGUCGAUUUUUGCGGUUACGGUCCCUGUGGUUCCAAAAUUACAAAGUUGGUCCUUCUCACCAGGUUUGUAUCAAAAUUGAAAAGACUGAUUUACUGUUUUAAUUUCUUUUUUUAGAUUUUCUUUAAUAUUAAUUAAACAUUAAAAAAUGCAAAAAAGAAAAUAAACCCCUAACCCCCACCCAACUCCUCCUUUCUUUACCUUCUUUCUCUGUGAUGCUGUUGGGGUUGCAAGCCGGUGAAAAUAGGGACAAUGUAAAGAAGAAGGGGUUGUUGAUCUGAUUCUGAUCAAACGGAAACUAGUAUAGUAUAUGUUCAAAAAUCUUUGGACAUGGAAAAAACCACCCUCAAUGAAUGCGUCAAUUGGGCCUUUAAUUGUCUUUACUUCAUCUAACUUGAUUUAAAUAUUAAAUUGCUACCUUAUGAAUUAGUGAAUAUAACAUCUUUCAUAACAUAAGGGAUAACUUAAUAUCUUAGGAAUGAAAUAUUAAUUUUUAAUAAAAAAUAAGAUUGCAUAUUUUCAUAACUUUUCAUGGAUAUAAAAAAGGGAAGUGGUUAUAUAUGUAUCUUCAUUUGGUUUUGUUUUAUGUUUCCUUCUGGAAUACAAAUAUGAACCUGCCACCUAAUUUUUGUAAGCAAAUAAUAUGUUGAACAUCAUAAAACGACAUGCUGAUCACCUGGUUAAAUGAUGAAAUAAAGUGAUAACAUACCUCAUCCUCAUGUGUAGCAUUGGUCAAACGGAAGUUGAGGCCAUAUUGAUCAAGACUAUGCUUGCCUAAUUCUGUAUGUAUGUAGUUGAGCUUCGGAGUCAUGGAGUGACCAGAUGUGAAAGUCAUCAUUUGUGGGCAGCCAUAAAUCUUAACCUUUUCCAAUGCUUUCCACCUGAACUCAUUCGUCCCCAAGAAGAAACCCUUGAGAUCUGGUAAAUCUACAAGUGUAAGGGACUUGAGAUGUGGGAAGACUAUAAUAGAUUUAGAUUUUUCUGUGUGCUCUGUGUCUUCCUUCACAAUCACUUUCAUUGCCUUGCAUUGUUUUACAGUCAGUUCUUUGAGUUGCUUGAGGCUUUCAAGUGUGGAACUUGUGAUUAUAUAUUCCAAUACUUCACAUCUUUCUAUUUCCAAUAUCGUCAGGUUGGGCAAUUGAAGCAGAGUCAUAUUUGCAGACCUUGGGAUGGUGAUUGCAGUACAAGUAUCAUCACUUCCAUCACCAACAUUCGUAGUACUAUCAACACCAUCUUUGUUUAUUUCUUUACUUUCAAAUAUCUCCACCAUUGACUUACAUUCUACUAUUAUCAACUCUUCAAGCUUAUUCAGUUGUCCCACUACAUUGGAUGGAAACACUCUUGAUAGGGCAGGACACUCCACUAUAUCAAUCUUUUUGGAGUAUUGACAUAAGAACCAAGAAGCAACACCGACUUGAGAACACUACAACAACACAUGAAAAAUCAAUGGAUCUAUUUUAAUUAACAAAGCUUAGAUGUUUGCUACACACAUACACACUACAAUUUAACAUAUCAUUUGUUUCUAAAAGUGUGGUAACAAACACAAGUGCUUCCCACAACUAAGGUAAUUAAGUAACAAUGUGGACAAUGUAAGUUGAACUACAAAAGGGCAAUAUACAGAAAAAAUGGAUAAAAGGUCUAGGAAUAAAGAGAAACCAAAUCGUGGUGUUUGGACUCCUUGAGGAAGAAGGUUUGUCAAAUGACCAAAAUACCCUCGUUAUACAUAUAUGACAAAAUAAGUAAAAACAAGAAACUAAUCAGUUGUAUGCUAUGCUUAUAUUGUUGGCAGGAGAGAACAAGUAGAUGGUGGAUGAAAGAAAAGGCACACUAAAUCAAUCAUAAAAGUGGCCUUAAUUAUAUAGGCUUAGAAGAGAUUAUGACAACCUACAAAUAGGAAACUGACACAAGAAAAAUAAAACUGCUACGUGCUAAAUAACACAGCUAAUUAGCAUUUAUUCAAAUUAAAACUUGAAAAUGAAGAGACUUUGAAGUACUUUGAUUAGCAAUUAAUCAACAUAUAUUUCUCGUGCAGAAGCAAAGUGUAUGACACUGGAAGUGGACAUGGUGGUCAUGAUAUUGGUUAGUCUCAUCUUUGAAACUAAAAAAAAAGACAAUAAAUAUGAGAUAUAAACACAUGAAAGGAUGAUAUAAAGCAUAAAAUAAACAAAUAUUUCACCUGGAUUUAUAGCUAUGAAAUUUACUUAUCUGAACUGAAGAAGGUCUAAAUGAAAGAAAUAACAACGCAUUUCCAUUUAUUCGUUUAUUAUAACAUCCUACUUUCAUUUCUUUAUAUUGCAGUAACGGAAAUCCUUUGUAUUUGAAUGAAAUUGCAAUAAAUGGGUGAGUUACUUAAAUUACAAUGCUUUAAUAGGAAAAAAUGAAAGUAAGAUGCUCUUAUAAUCAUAUCAGUGAAAGUAAAAUGCUAUUUCUAUAAUUUUAGACUUUAAUAAAUGACCCAAGACUACCAUAUAGGUACUUUGAAAAUCCACCCAACUAUAGCAUUGUACUUUCGACUUUUCUUAUCAGGCCGUUGUAGCCACAUAUAAUUGGGUAUAUUUUUUCAAAGUAUGAUGCUAUAAUGGGAAGAAAUGAAAGUAGGAUGAUGUAAUAAGAAAAUAAAGGAAAGUAUGUUGAACAGAGAAAAUGACUAAAAAUAUAGUGGUUUUUCUGUAUAUGGUUUAUGAAGAGAAAACAAAUGUCAUUGGACUAUAUAACCCAUUACCCCCUCAAUGUGAGAAAAUGAAAAUAUAAUUGUACUUCUAAAUUUAUUUAUUAUUAGGAAAUGAGUUUGAAAUUAAUAUGCUUAUAUUUCCGUACCUGCAUUGAUUACAUGCAUCAUCUUCUUCAUGUUUUAAAUAAUUUUACUAACAUGAAGGGUUAAUUUAGGACACAGUGACAAAAGGAAGAAAAAUUUAAUAUGGAGAAUGUUAGCAUCUGAUCAGCCGUUAUCAAUAAUUAAUUUAUUCCAAGUCUUCCAUCAUGUGUGUGCUACAUCUAAACCCACAUAUUUUGGUCUAGAUAAUCUGAUCUUUAGAAAAGAAAGUUUAUAUUUUAGCAUUUGUGAAUAUAGAAUUCUCAAAAAAAGUUUAUAUUUUUGCAUUUGUGAAUAUAGAAUUAUUGAGAAGGCCAAAUCCAAGAAACAGAUAAUGACUCUUAUCAAUAUCAGUAUCUAUAGUGAAAAUAAAGGUGCGUUUAUUAUACAUCUAUGAUUGUUCAUUAGAUUGUAUAUUGCAAAAUCUAUCUUGAUUCUAAUAUUCAGAAUAGAAAGCAUUUUUAGAACAAUUUUUCUUUUCAAGGGAGUCAUUUUCAAUAUAGACUUGGGAAAUUAUACUAGAUAAAUGUAGAUCUUGAGACUUCCCAUAACUGACAAUCUUGUCCUUUGGCUCGAUGAUCGAUCACUGUCUUAAAUUUAAUACUUUUAAAAAAAAGUUGUAAACAGGAGUCUUUUGCCAUAUAUUGUAUUUAUAUAUUUUCAGUUGGAACACUAGAUAUACUUAGGUAAAGUUUGAUAUUUUUCAGUUCCAUGUCAGAAAAAAAAAGAUUUUUUUUUGAAAGAUUACAAAAAAAAAUAUUUCUUUUAAACAACAAAGUGAACUUUAUUAAGCUAAAAUUGCAAGCUAGGGAAAAAAAAAAAAAAAACAUGAAUAAAAUCAUUUUUGUUCCAGUUUUCAUAUUACUUAACAAUCAAGAGUAAUGUUGAUAUGACUUAUAUACAUUUAUCAAUCAAUUUUUUUCUCUCCCUCACAAUCCGGUCUAAAUCCAUCAUCUGUUUUAGUUAACUUAACUAAAACUGGAUAAAAAAAAUGCUUUUCAUAAGAUUUAUAACCAUGCUUAAGAGAAAGAACUCUAAUGACCUAUGCAAACGAAUAAACUGUAAAAAAAAUUAGGUAUUCAGUUAGUUAUUUUGUCUUUCCAGCUUCAGAAGAAUUAGCUUAUUGAGUUAUAUAAAGCAGCUAAUGGAGAAGAAAACAUUAAAAAUAAAUAAAUAAAUAAAUAAAACAAAUAACUGAAAUGAUACCUGGAACUGAUCAUGGAUGGAAGUAGUUGUGAUUGUAGUACUGCCAUCGAUGCUCUUUACGCUUGGCAGAGAACUGAGGAUGAGUUGAUCAAGAAGAGGGAAGGAGGAGAUGGUGUUUGUGUGAGUAGAAGAUAUUAUUUCUUCAUUUUCAUCAUUAAUAUCUCUUUUUGAAACAACUUCUUCAAUACCAGCACAACGUUCUAUCCAGACCUCCUUUAAGUUGGGAAGAAGUUUGCCCAUGACAGGUGAAAAUAAGUACUUUAUGCUUUUGCAAUUCCAUAUUUGUAUGGUUGUGAGGUUGUGGAAUGAGUAGGAUUGUGAUUGGUUUUGAGGAAUUACAAGUUUCUUCCAAUUGCACUUCCACACAUCACUCAUCCUCUCCAUAUCAUAUAAAUAUAAUUCCUUGAGGUGGGGAAGUAGUAGUGGUGGUGGUUGAUGAUUAUAUUUAUGCAGAGUUGUUGUGAAAUCUGUGCUGCUGCUGCUGUUGCUACUGGAACUCUCUAUCUCAAACACCACUUCAACAUCCUUACAGCCUCCAUUUAACCAAAGUGUUUGAAGGUGAUUAACGUGAAAAGGUUUGGGAUGAAUUGAGGAUUCAACGUCAGGAAUAUUACCAUCCACCACUGAAAUGAUCUCUGCCUUGGAUAUAACAUUAAUCUGCAAAUAUUCAACAACAAAUAUAAUUCAGAAUUUCCAUCAACUAAAUUUUUAAAUUAAGUAUUCAUAAAUGGCACACCUGUUUAAAUCUAUUUACAUAACUAAAGUUGACAGCGAUUAAAUUAGCGGAUUUUAAAUAAUUUCCAAUGAUAACUUAUUUGACACAUACAAUAAAUAUUCAAAAUACUCGCACUUACACAAAUAUGUAAAAAUAACUUUUUUAGACUAACGUACAAAAUUGGUUAUCUGGUUUUUUGGUUUACAUACAAAAAAAUCAUUUUGCAAAUUUGAUCCCUAUCACUCACACCGUUAACUUACAUCGGUUAAAACCUUAUAAAAUGACUAUUUUGCCCUUCUUUUAUUUUUUAUUAUUAAUUAUCAUGAAAAUUAUUCAUAGGUCGCACCACCCAUAUAUCGCCCCAAUGUCCCCCUCUUUCCCCUUUCACCAUAUUCCUCCAUUGCAAUCACUUUCCUCCAUUACCAUAUCAAUCUCAGGUGCAUUUUCAUCAUCAUCAAGCAUGGAAAAUGCAAGGCAUAGCAUAAAUUCAACAACCAUAUCUUGUCAUCUUCAACACAUUAUUCAGUGAGUUGAAAUCCAAAAUCAUCAUUUAAGAUGCAAGUAUCAUAAAACAUACACCCAAUAAAAUAGAAAAAAGGCAAUGCUUACAACAUAUUGUCACAAUCCAAAACCAGACAACAUGUUUCCAAAAGAAAUUAUACUUUUUGGGUAUCAGAUGGGUGAAAUCUUAAAUUUAAGUGAAAAAGUUGCAGGACAAGUGGGUGAUGAUGCAAGAACAUCCAAUUUCAGUUGAGAUUUACAAACAAUUGUUGUGAGAUAUCCUUUAAGACUUCAUAUAUGAGUAUAUGACCUAAUGAAGGAAACACAGAGGGGAGCUGAGAUGCUCACUUGGAGGGAGGACCAAGAUAAAGGGGACAAGAUUUUAAUAUUUACUCUUUUUUUUUUUUUUACCAUAAAUCAAUAAUUUUGAGUGAUCACUUAAUUGAUCUCUAGAAUAAAUAUGUAAAAUCUUCGCAUUUAAUGGAAAUAUAUAUAAAUAUUAAUUUUCAAUCCCUCUUAAUAAUGCGGUGUAAAUAUGUAAUAUUUGAAGUUACAAUUGUUAUAAAAUACUAAACAAAUGCUUAAGUAUAGUGAAAUAACAAAAAUAAGAAAAUAAGAAAAACUUGUUUAUAAAUAUGUAAAAGUGAUAAUAUAAAGGUUGAAAGACAUCAAUACUUAGCACUGUAGGAAAUCUAGCCUACUUCUCCACACUUAAAAAUGUAGUAUAUCUGUAAUUUGUCCAUGUUUUCAAAUGUGGAGUAUUAAAUUGUUUAUCCACAUUUUGAAGUGUAAAGGUUUAGAUACACGUACACAUAUAAGUGUGAGGGUAUAUAUAGAGGCACAUACAAAUAAGUGUUGUAACAUCACAUACCUCCCGGCUGUUCUGAACCAAUUCAAUGUUACUCCCGGUUUCUUCCCAAGGUCUCAUACCAUCUAUACUCACAUUCAUAAGUGUCCUCACAUCAGAAUUGGUGACGGUCGGUGUGAAUACGUUUACAAACCUCUCACAAUUGUAUAUUUGUAUACUUUCAACAGCUUGAAAGCUACGGAUGAGGAUAUCAGAGCUACUUUCACCUUUCAUCCUCCACAACUCUCUUAGCUUCCCCAAAUUAUGUACUUUAAUGAGUCUCAAGUUGCUACUGUACUCUUCAAUUUCACCAACACAACUCAUGUCGAUGUUAAAUAACAAUUCAAUGCUUCCACAAUUAGAAACAUCCAGCUUUUCCAGACGACCCAGCAAAGACAUGGGAUUGGUUGGAAACAGAUUCACAAGAUUAUCACAUUCCCUCACUCUAAUCUCUCUCAACAUGCAGGCAUUAACUUCGUCACUACUACUAAAUUGAUAAGGCCAUAUCUCUUUCAGCUUAUCCAUCCUCAAAAUCUCCAAUUUCUCCAGCAUAGGAAUCAACACCUGCGCAACAAUUAGGACAUGUUGAUCAUCAAUAACACCAUCUAAUGACAAUAUAUUGGGCAAUUAUAUUAAAAAUAUUUUGGUUAAGGAAUGUACCCCUUUGUUGAAGAAAGGUUGAAUUGCAGAGACAUUACUGGACAUAGAAGAUGUUGCAGAUGUUUUCUCAGGAUAAAUGCUACUGAAAUUAGGAAGGCCAUCAAGUUUCAACUCCACCAGCUGUGGUAGCUCAAUUACAUUAGCAGUGUUGCAAAGACCUAUCAACUCUGGUAGCAUCUUCAAUGAUAGAAACUUUAGCCCCUGAAACCUAAUUGCCCCAUCUCCACCAUUCUCACUAUGUGCAAGUACUUCCAGAACAGGGCACUGUGAAACUGUGAGGCGUUCAAGGUUCAUCAAACCAUUUGCAAUAGGGACUGUGAAGAGGAAUCUCAAGUUUGCACACUUGAAGACAUCAAGGACUCUUAGAUUAUUAAACGACUGUUGAUGAAAAUCAUCCAUACCAUCCACUUCUAGAUAAAGCACCUCUGUUUUCACAAACAACUCAUUCAAUCUAGAUUCCAAUAGCUCAUCUUUGUUAGUGACCAACAUCAACGUGUUUUCAAAUGAGUGCAUCUUUAAUCCAGGAUUGUCUCCUAAACCACAUCCCAUAGAGAUCCUGAACCUUUUGAGUUUAGUAAACAGCAUAUUCUCGGGUGUACCGUUGUCAAAGAACUCAACUUCUAAUGCAGAAAGGUGCUCUGAAAGUUUUGCUAAUUCAGCAUGAUUACUGUCUGUGAACCUAAUUGCCUUUUCAUCAGCAACUCUCAUAUAAAACUCUUCAAGAUUGACCAAAUCUUUCAAAACACCAUCAUCAAUACGAAGAUUGACACAGCCCGUCAAAUCCAGUAGCUUUAGCUUCUUCAACUUUCCGAUUGUGGAUGGUAACUUUCUGAUGCCACAAUAAGCAAAACUGAGCACUUCCAAAUUCAAGAGUUCACCAAUAACAGAGCAAUCAAGCAUCAAUGUGCAUCGAUGGAAGACGAGUGUCCGAAGCUUGGUGGAGCACUGAAGUGAUCUGGGGAGCAACGGAUACUGCAUUUUUUCGUACGCUAUAACUUCAAGAUUUUCCAUUCUUUCAUAAAAAUCUUCAGGAAACAUAAGCGACUUAUCUCCAUCCAUAAGUCUCAAAAGUGAUACGUUUGGGUACUUAGACUCACUAGAAAACUCAGACAUACCCGUGCAAGUAAUAGAAAUUCUGUUACAAGACUCACUGGUUCCAGCACUAGUCCACUUUGAAUUAUCACCAUGGUUGAUUAUCCAUGGAUGGUCACCCUUAGAAACUCUACCUACAACAAAAUCGAGCACAAGAUCAUGCAUUCUGACACACCCAUCAUCAUCGCAUUCCAUCAACAAAUUUGCUUUUUUGAGACUCUGCACACACGUCUCUGUCCUGUCUCUAGCCUCUCCCAAAGUAGAAACUCCAUUUAACAACCGUAGGCCCCAUGCAUGUCUUGUGAGUUCCUCGAUUGGAAUAUUAAAGUCAUCGGGAAACAAACCACAAAGAAGAAAGAUCUCUUUUUCCUCAUCCUCUUUUAUAUAGUCAUAGCUUAUCUUAACACUUUCUUGCACAUAAUCAAGAUUUUUAUUCUGAAAACGGCGGAGUGUAUCUCUCCAUGCAGCCUUUUCUUCAAACUUAAGACGACUGGCAACGAGAUUAAUGGCAAGGGGCAAACACCCACAUUCUCUCACAAUCUCUGUUCCAAUUUGAUUGAGCUCCCGAUCAUUUUGUUUUGCGACUCCUAUGAUUUUCCAAAAGAAAUUUUGUGCUUCUAGCUCCUCCAUGAGUUCCACUCUAACUACUUUCAAAUCAAAAUUACAUUUUUCUGCAAUUUGCUUGCAAGUAUUUUCCUUUCGUGAUGUCAGCAAUAACUUGAAGCUGUUGGGAAAAGGACUUAGUCCAAUAUCUUUGAGAUCGAUCGACUCCCAUACAUCAUCUAAUAUCACUAAAACCUUUUUGUUUUGUUUUACCAGCUCUGUAAAUGCUAUACCAAGACGUUCUGCCCUUCUUGUUGGAUCUGUUUCAGUUAGAGAUAGACUUACGCAUUCUGCCAAAGCUUGCUGAAUAGCAGACGCUUCUUUUUUCCCAAUAACCACCUUUAGAAACAAAUCAAACUUUUUCUCACCUUCCAGAUGCUUUUUCAGCUGUUCCAUCAUGGUCGUUUUUCCCACACCACCCAUUCCACAUAGGGCUAUCAUCUGAUUUUGUUGAAGGAACCCGAGCGCAUCCUUAAAAGGCUUCUCUCUUGAUUUGAAGUGAUUUUGGGCAUCACCAUCCGAAGAUGCGAUUUUAGAAUGCACUCUCCCAAGAGGUUUUUGAGCAUCACUCCAGCUCAUUUGAAGUUUUUCCGUAAUAAGACUUUCGAUCGCCUCAGUAGUCUUACAUGCCUUCCUUCCUGCUCGGUACCUCAUUAUUAUGUUAAAACAUCCACUCUCAGUACUUGAAAUGCUUUGAGCAUCUUUUCUAAUCUGUUCAACCUCUUCCAACCAACCCGGUACACGCUCAGGUAUCUCUAGAUUCUUUAUAUUGUUUGCGUCCCUGUGAUUUUUGACAUCAAUGCUUAUAACAUCCAGUUGGUUCAUUUUAGCACUCAUGUUCCUCACAUGUUUUGUGGAGGAAAAAAGAUAACCCAGAUUUUUCUUGACAGGAGGCAGCAAACAUUCAACAAUUGGACCAGCAAUGAUUUCAAGUAUAAACGCCAUUUUUUUUUGUUCUAGCUUUUUGUGAGACCUGCAAACCGUGUAACAAAUCAAUAAAGGGCAUGAAAUAACAAAAGUUGUGAUUUAGUAUACAUUUAUGCAUUCAUGUUUUAUUAUUAGUAUGUAGAAGUAGAACUAUCUUUUUUCCAAUAUCAUUUAUAAUCCAUAGAUAAAUAGUGUUCAAAAAAUUUAUUCUAAGACUUCGAUACCUUGCAUGGGAAGAGGAAUAGUACACAUAACACAUUUAGUAAGAAACUAAGAUCAGAUGUAGGAAAACUAAUGCUCGUGUAAAUUCAGACAAGUUAUUUAUUUUCUUGUGGAUAUUCCCUUUUGGACUUAAACUUUGCUUUCGUAAACAUAGUGGGAAUAGGUGUUGAUUUCAACAUAUCAUCAUGUGAAUAAUUACAUUACAUUUGAAAAUCUUACACAUAUCAUUGUACAGUCCAAACACAAACAUGCAUAGGUAACAAGGAAAAUGUGAUUCUCACAUACUUCGAUGAUGGAUUAUACUCUUGUGAGUCUAUCAAUUCUGUAAAAAACAAUCAAGAUGAAAUAGAAGACAAAACCUAACUACAAAGAUUUUGGGAAAUUUGAACCCUAUUGAGACUUUUAUAAGGAACUUGUUGUGGACAACUCUCCACAUGAGGAUAGAUUAAGAAAGCCUUGAAUGAGAAAAGAAAAGGCAUGCAUAAUCUUGUAUAAGAAAAAGAAAAACCCACAUCUGCAUUUGUGGAACCUGGAGUGUGGUUGGCAUUUUCAAAAAGUUCCCCUUUUUCACUCUCUCUGUACUUACGUCCAUUACCUUUCUAUCUCUCCACCAAAAAAAAAAAACUCUCAAACCCUUGGAGUUUCCCCUUACAGUGAGAAGGAGUAAUGCCGAAAAAAAAAGGUAGAAAAAAUUAAAGGACGGGUCCCAGUUUAAUCGAUGACCUCGAGACCAAGCUAGACAACACCAUCUCUCGUAAGCUUGUAGGUUGCCUCUGCCAUGAUUACGAUAGCAUUAUUCCAUACUUCAAUUAAAUGGGGGCAAAAGCACGUUGUGAAAUUGUUAGGUUUUACAGGCAACAGCUAAUCGAUCGAAGGCAUGAUAUGAAUCUUCUUGAAUUAUCAGCAUAUGGAAAGGGAUAAGAUGUGGAGGAUUUUUAUUCUUUCGCUGCCUCGUGUGUGGGACUUGUGAUCCGUUGACUCAAGGUCAAUGGUAUCUUCAAUCUUGUCUAAAACCCAUAUGGACUUUAUUUUACAUAAAUGGGCUGUCCAAUAAUCUUGGGCCUAGUUAUAAUCGUGAAAAUCACUUUUGAGUGUAAUUAGGUUACAUCUUAUUUGAUGUAUAGGUGCAAUACUAAAACGAGAAAAUGAAUUAGGAUGUUAAUUAUUUUAUUUGUUUUGUUUAUAAUUAGGCAAAAAAAAAUUAUAGGAUAAUCAAACUUUUAGAAAUGUUCAAAUGUUAUCAAUUGUAACUAAUAUUUAGUUUUGAUGAUUAGGAACUUUGUAAUAUAUCUUCUAAAACUAUAUAUUACUUUUAAAUUUAUUUUUACUAUAUUUUUCAAAUAUGGUUAUUAAUAAAUUCCAUUUUGUUAAAUCUUCUUAUAUAAGAAAUAGUUAUGAAUUUGAUAUGGAACAAAUAGCUACAAAAUUUGUUAUGGAAAAAUGAUUAUGAGAUUUGCUACCGAAAUAUAGCAAAUCUUCUCUAUCUUCUCUAUGAUUGUGCGACUCUCUUUUCUUCUCAAUUCGCACAAUGAUACAUGUUUCUAAUAUAGGUAUAUGUCAAAAUAAUAUGUUCGGAUAGAAAACUUAGCAAGUCAUACAAAGGUUAAACAUCAUAAAAUUAAUAUAAAAAGCAUCAUAAAUAUAUUAAACAUAUCACCAUUUUCCGUUGUCAACCAUAUAGAGAACAACAUUUAUACUUAUACAUCUUUAUAGAGAAAAAAAAUUCAUACCCCAUCCGUCCUAUAUUUAUAGUCAAUGUUUUCUUUUUGAUUUGUACCAAAAUAAUAGCUUAUUUCUAAAAAUAAAUAUUCAUUUUACCAAAAUACUCUUCGUUAUUAAUUAAACAGCAAGAAAAUUAAAUACGACUACCAUGAAAUUAAAUGCAAAAAAAGAUAAGACUAUCAUUUUAUUUAACAAAGUUGUUUGUCGAUUAAUGUUUUCUUAAUCUAUGUGUCUUUUUUUUUGCGGGCAAUAAUACGUCUGAGGUCUUAAAAAUUGACUAGGGACUGAACUAGUCGUACACUGGUCGGUCCCAACCUGGUCUAGACCGUCGGUCCUCAUGCAGUCCCAAUUUUCACUAAAAUGUCGGAGCCAGCACCUGAACAGUCUCGGGUCGAACCGCUCUUGGUUCCAGAUCGGUCUUAAACAUCGGAAAGUCAAUCAUGAGUUUUCACUAAAAUAUAAGCAAGAUUCUCUGUCUAUAUUCUUUUCAUGGUAUUAGAGCCAUGAAGAGCUUGUUGGUUUUUAGGAUUUUAGCCAAUAAGGAAAGCCCAAUCUGUUUGGCCCACAUAUAUAUAACUAUUUCCUUGAAAACAACACAUCCAUUAUGUUCCCGGGUUAAAUUCUAAUUGGAUAUUUGUGCAACAAUUAUUUGGCAAUUGCAACUGUUUUGUUCAUUUAACUCCUAACUUUUAUGCUAUAUUAGAUCGCAAUUCAAAGAAGCUGACUGGUGCAGCUGAAAGAAAAAAGGGGAUAUAACAAAUUCUCUCGAUCUUUGGCAUAAACCCUCUAAGCCAUCCCACAUGAAGAAAGUCUUAAUGAUAGAGAUACUAUGUUAACUACAAAUUGUGAAGUGUUUCACUGUGCUAAACAGUGUCAGAAAAAUUUGCAUUACCCAAACAGAUAUGAGAUCUAAUGGUAACCCAUAGGUCUCAGUUUAUACUUUUUCACUUUGUUUCUUUGCAGUGAUUGAAAGUGGGAAUAAAUAGUUGAUUCAACAUCUUUCUCAUAAUGUGAACAAUUGAAUAUCAGUUGAAAAUCUUUCAUAUCCGGUAGUUUAGUUCAAAAAACCCACUCAAACUGAGAGAUUCAUCUAAUAUUUGAAAAAUCAAAAUGAUUGAAAAUGAGAUCUGACACUCCUGUACCUAGCUGGAAACAGAGUCCUACACUCAUAAAAUUACGGGCGAUUUAUUAGGGCUGAUACUGAUCUCUAGUAUGAAGCAUAUAUCAUAAGAAAAUCACUACUUCAUAAACAUUAGUCAAUAAUCAAACCAGAGAAAAUAAAUGAAUAGGCGUUUUCAGCUUAUUUAACAUUUCAGUUGAUUUUAUCUGUAGAAGAUACACAGAAUGCACAAGGACCACAACGAGUAGCAAACUAAACUUGAUUCCAGAUAUCUAGUCAAGGAUCGAUAUAUUUGAAACAGGAAACAACAAAUUCAAGUAAUAGAUUGGUAUUCAUAGAGAAUCUUUUUUAACAAACUCGUACCUGGCUCUGUUCUAUGAGACUGUGCGUAUGCUUGCAAUGUUGCUGCUGGUGCUACUUUGCAAAAAUUCUAAUGGUGUAGAAGAAGACCACUGAUUGAACAGCUAUAUAUUACACUGCCUCAAUUAUUUGGGUGAGUGGGGGACAUAAUUUUCCAUUUGUGCUUAAAAGUUGGAUAUUGGAUAACCUUAUCCUAACACACGUAAAUGUAAUAAUUUUUUAUAUAUUGUAAUAAUCCUUCAAAUAUGUUAAUAUUUGGAAAUUAGUUGUCUGAUUUUAUAAAUCAGCACUAAAACUAUUUUUUCUUAACAUGAUAUGAUAUGGUAGGUAAUUGGGCUAGAAAUGGAUUAUUUUAAAAUUACAUAAAACUAAAAAAAAUUACAACUGAGAAAAUUAUCAUAAUAGUUUUUUUUUAAGGUUUUAUCACAAAAUAGCUACAAAACUGCAAAAUGGCCAAAACACGAAGAAAAAAAAAACUUCACAAGCCCACAUCUACAAAAAGAUGUUUAGCCUGCGAAUUUUUUUUUUUUUUUUUUAAUAUCAAAACAACGUCGUUGACUAUGAAAAUAUGAUUGUUGAUUGCGAAAAAUGAGUUAAAUUAUGAUUUUUUUUUACAAAAAAAAAUGCGAUGUUUUUUUCACAUUAACUACGACAUUCAAGCAAUGGCGGAUCCUUUAUAUGGCUAGGGGGGCCAUGGCCCCCUUAUGUUUUUUUACCUCCUUAAUACUAUAUUAUAUAUAAAUAAAAGUUUGGUUUUAUUUGUUGACUAAGGAUUUGGCCCCAGGUUAAUGAUAAACACAUGGCUGCACCAUUUUUAAAAGAAUUAGCUAGAUUAUUAUAAAGCUUUGCUAUUUUUAGUGUGAUCUAGGCCCAUAUUUAUUUAGAGAAAAAAAUGUAGUUUUUAGAAAAAUUAAGUUAGUGAAACGAUAUGCUAAUGUCAAUAAUAUAUGAUAUCUAAUUUUGUAAAGGUAAUUUUAGUAUAGUUAGAAUAAUUAGUUAUAUUUAAAUAUAAUUAUUAAAUUGUUAUUCUCUAUUAUUAUUUUGUUAAAGCAAAUCUGAUGUAGAUUGAACUACAGUAAUAGAUAAUUUGUCAAGUGUAUUGUCAAACACUUUUGUAAACUUGUAAUACUUUACGUGUAUCGAACGUGAGAUGCUCGAUUUUUGAAGAAGACAGUCUUUAUUAAUCAAAAAUAGAACAACCACAUUACAAAUAAAGGUGCAAAUAUUUAAAGACUCUUAAACGUAAACCUAAUAGAAGUCUAAGACUUUUGAAACAAGGAAACAAACAAAUAAAUAAGGAAAGAAAAAGACUCAACAUUAAAGAAACUAAUUAUCCAAUUACUUGGACUCUACCCUUUCUUUUCGUUGUUGUGGUCCAGAUGGACCAUAGCCACCUCAUCAAAAUCAUAUUACAUAGUCAACAUCAAAAUGAUAAAAAAAUCAACAAUCGUUUCGCCCCCUCCGGUUAAGGGAUCCGUGUUCCGCCCCUGCAUUCAAGGAAUGUACUGUGAAAAUCAAAAUCUUGCAAAACCUCGUAGGACGUUAUCUUAUAAGAGAUUGUUUUGUAAAAUAUUAUCAUAACCAAUUNAGUUGUUUAUUUUUUUUGCGAAUUUUUGUUUGGUGUUGUACUUGAUUGUAGGAAGAAAUAUAAUUACACAAAUGGACAAAUACGGAAACCUCAGGCGUGGAGGAUCAAGUCGGUUAUCAACAAAUAUGUGACAAACAUAUAAUAAUUUUAAUGUAUUUUCAUGAUUUUAUACAGGUUUUGAUGUAUGUGGUAUACCUCCAUGCCAUCUUGAAUAUUUUAUUUACACAGAGUGAAUGAGAGAUAUGGAUCAUAUAAAUUUGUUUCAUCUACCACUUCUUCCUUUUCCCAUAUAAAUUUUAUAAUUCAUAUAUAAGUCCAUGUCUUGGGAAUUCCUUUGUUUUUCAUUUGUUAUAUGGAAUGUGCAAUAGUUGAUUUUCUUAAUUCGUCAUAGUAUUGUAGGGCAACCUAAAACAUCUUAAUGUAAUACUCCCUCCGGCCCAAUUUAAAUGUCCAGGUUACUAUUUUAGGUUGUCCCAAAAUAAAUGUCCACUACUAAAAAUAGAUGAACAAUUUACCAAAUUACCCUUAUGAAUAGAUGAACAGGUUACUAUUUUAGUUAACCAACAUGUUUUUAUUAAUGUGUUAUAUGAAAAGUAAAUUAUGAAAAAAGGGGGUCAUCGAGAGAAUCUGGAAACAAGUAUGUACAAUUGAAAAGAUAAACAAAAUAACUCUACUCAACUAAAAAUCCAAUCCUAUGAAUUUAAUGUGUAGUGACAGUAAAUCAUAAUCACAGAAACAAAACAUCUCAUUCAUUUUCAUUUAAAAAAAAAUCAAAAUACAAAUGUUUCCUUCCAAAUUGGGUGAUGUGCAACAUAUUUUUAUUUUUUCAAAUACAAUAUAGCAUUGUCUAAUAAAUUUUGAUCACAUUCAAUUUGUAAUGGAAAAUUACCUUCUGGUUCUAACCAGCAUUUACCAACAUGUGGCACAUGAUAGUUGUUGCCACCUUGUACUUUUAUGAUUUCUUUCAUGCAUGUUUGUGGAAUUAAAAAAAACCUUGUUAAGUUGUUGUGAUGACAUUCUUUCAAAAGACGUUUGAUCCGCAUCAUCCAAUUCAUCAAUUGUAUGCAAAACCUCUUGUUCUUGAAGUGAUCGUCUUGCUCGAAAGAAUAACCAAGGUCUAACACAUUCUAAUUCGGGCUAUUAGGGGGCUGAAAACAAAGUCGAAUAUCAUAUCCAUGUCGAGAUGCCGCUUCAAGAAACUUGCUAUCGUUGACAUCAAUAUGAGGCUUUGUGUUAUCUUGUUGAAUAAAUAUUAGACCGAUAUGACCUUGCGGCCAUUUGGAUUUGAUAUCCCGUAGAACCUUUUCUAUCAACCAUGACCUUGUUACUUCUUUGUUCACCGAUAAAAUAGGUUUCGUAUCCAAUGUUCCCAUAAUACGGUUUUUUCUUGAACGCUUAGUAGGUUCUAAUGUUGUAAACGGGUAGAUACCAAUUUUUCCUGAAUAUACUUUGUUACCUAAUGAAUCAAAUCUUGGUCUUGCUACAGCUGCUAGAAACAUAGCUUUUGUGAUAAACUUUUUGGCUUUACAUGUUUGCAACGGUUUAUCCUCACCGGGGACAAGGUAGUGACGUUUUGGUGGUUUUGAUAUGUAAAACUACUUUUCAUCAAUAUGAAAAACAUUAAACAUAUCAUAGAAUGUAGAAAUCAGACUUAAUAAUGAUUGUGUAGUAAUCUUUGAUUAGCAAAAUUCUAACCUUUCUCUUCUAUUAUCAUGAGUUAGAGUCGAAUUGAUGGAAUUUGUAUGUGGUCGAAGUACACAUUCCUUGAUACGUCUAUGCAUCGUUGAUUUCGAGAUAUUUACAAAUUUCACAAGAGAUCGUAUAUUGGCUUGACGGCAUAAUGGAAUUUUUGAAACUUGAUUCAAGUUUAUUUGUACCCUUUUCCACCCAACAAAAUUUGGUUUAUUUGAAGAUAAAUCAACCAAUAAUCCUUCGACAUUAGCUUGAGUUCUUUCGAGAGUUGUUAUUGGUUCCACCACUACCAUUCCGCAUGAAGGGGGGUAUUAAGCACAUGUAAAGUCUAGAAGCUACGGUACAUACGAAAAGUAUAUGGUAUAGUUUUUACCCUUACUUGUACUUACUUCUUGAGAGUUGUAAGUGUAAAUGUUUUAAGUAUCUAUAGACAUCCUGUAACAUUCGAAUCCAGGUAUUUCCUUUUUUAAGUCCCUAUUAUAAAUCAAAUUGGAAAAGAAGGCCCUUUGUAUGUUGGGCAUAUGUAUAUGUACGCUUAGCAUACAUGGGCGUAUUGAUCGAGUAGCGGAGCCACAUACGCAGUGCGUACGAAGCAUACACGGGGCGUACGUGGCUAAAAGGCAAAAACCCUAAUUUACGGACAUGAGCCCUAUUUAAGCUCACUUAUGACCUUUGUACCUCACUCUUAUCAGCCUUCACUCCUUUAAACGUCCCUAAAAACCCUAUUUUCCCAUUAGGAGUGAUCUUUAAGCAUUGGGGUAACUUUGGUGGCCUUUUUAUUGUGUUUGCAAGAAGAAUAAGUUGGUGUUCAUGCUUUGGGCAUGGGUGAUCUUCAAGAUCCUAAAUCUACAUCAUCUUGGGGAGCUUUUGAAGGUAAAAAGCCCUUACCUUGUUGAUCCUUUACAUAGGUAGAGUAAGUAUUUGCUUAUAAGUUCAAUUUUAUCCAUGGAUUCCCUUUUGUGAGUUAAUUUGGGCAACUCCAGAAGCUUGAAAUGCUAGAUCGUAGUUCCUUUGGUGUGUUAAAGGCAUAAAAUGCUAUCUUGGUGGUCAUUGUGACACCAUGCAUGGAAGUAGGUUCUUAAAUUGGGUCUUAAUGGACAAAAUUGGAUGUUGGACUCCCAUAAGACAUGCAAAGGCAUAAAGUUGCCAAAUUUAUGCCCUAGAACCCCUUAAAUGAUGAAGAAGUGUGUGUGUUUGUGUGUGUGUGGAGAGAGAGAGAGAGAGACAGAAAGAGGAGGGGGAGAGAGAGAGAGAGAGAGAUGUGAGGAGUAUUGAGAUAGACGAUUUCAUAAUAUAAAUUAGUUAAUAUAAUAAUUUGGAUAUUAUAUUUUUAAUGACUAAUAUGCCCUUGUGAUCAUUUCUAAAAAGUCUAAGAUACCAUUUAAAUUGUUGAUAGAUACAGAUCUUCCAUCUUUCAUCUAGACCAUGAAAAUUUUUGAUCUAACGUUCCACUUUUAGUUCUUGGGAAACUAUAGGUUCUCAAAUGAUCCUCUCUCUCUCUCUCUCUCUCUCUCUAUAUAUAUAUAUAUAUGUUCCUAUUUAUUUUUUAAUACUUAUUAAAUAUUGAAAAAAGGAAUAAUGGUAUUAUAGUCUUUUCAAAUUGGAAAGAUACCUUUUCCACACACAAACAUGGUAAAAAGGACCAGCAAUCUUGUAACAUUCGAACCUUGUAAGUUUCCAUUUUAAACCUUCCUAAACAAAACAUUUCAAUUUGGUCCUUUUGGCUAGUAUGCGGGGCGUACUCUAUGAGUACGCUCGGCGUACUAGGCUGAAGUCUGAUCCCGGGCAUCGACCACAUACAUUGGGCAUGUGUGGAUUACAUUGGGAGUACGUUGGCUAGGGGAAAACCCUAAUUUUUAGGGGUUUUGACUUAUUUAAGCGUCAUUAACCCACCUCUUAGAUAUGUCUUACCAGCCUCCAUAUCCUCAAACCCCAACUUCGUCCCUUAGCCUUUGUGUGGUGCCUUUGAGCUCUUAUGAAGCAUUUUUUGUGUGUUUUCGCAUCCUGAAGAGGACGGAGAAGAUUGAAGACUCAUCCUUUGGAGAAGAUUUUUGAGAUCCAAAUUUAGCUUCUUCAUUUUGUGGCUUUAGAGGUAUAAUGUCCAUAACUUGUCAAUUCAUUUCAUAAAUCUACUAUUUGGCUUGUUUAUGGUCAUUUUGGUCCCUUUUGGUUGGUCCUUGUGAGGUAAGGCCUUUUCUGGAAUUUAACGUUGUAGAUCUGGACAUAUUAGGGGUUCCUUAACCAUAAAGAUGCAAUCUUUAUGGUUUUAUGGACUCAUGCAUGUGUUAAGUCAUUUGUUAAGCUAUUUUGAGCUCUAGAGCCCCCAUUAAGCCAUGUAUACACGUAAUGUUGCCAACUUUACAUGAUAAAUCAUCUUUUAGGACUAGAUAUGAGAGUAUGGAGUAGGGGCUAAAUGGAUUAAGUGCUUAUUUGAUGGGGUUGACCAACUGGUGAGUACGUUGGGUGUACCAAGCUAGUACGUUACACGUACUUUCCCAAGGACGUAUACGUUGAGCGUACGAGCUAAGUACAUCUCAUGUACUUAGCAGAUGGGCUUCGGAAGUUUGGGUUUCUCAUCUUUGGGCCAUGUUUGGACUUUAGGUGAAUAAGGCCUUGUUAGGCCAUCAAUUUUUAUUUUGGGCUGAUGCUUUUAUUUUGGGUUCACUAGGAUGAAGGUCCACGAAGGGACUUGGGCCUAAUUUGGAAAAUUGAGCCAUAAUCAGGCUCUUGUGAUUGUGAUUUGGAUGGGUUCCUUUUGUAUGGGGGUUAAGCAAGUAUAAGGUUUCAUAAUUUUAGUGGUGGUAUGUCGGUUCGGUAGUUAAAGGAAGCAGUGUAUUGUUCAGCCCUGGAAGGUUCAUCUCUUUGUUCAUCUCGCGUUGCUCAUUAUGUUCAUGGAAUUGUUAUCAUUAUGAUGAGUCUCUCUCGAAGGAAUAUCUAAUCACUUUAGUCAAAUGAAAGGUUGUCGAUGUCAACAUAUGAUCUAUGAUUUUGUUUUCUAGCGGGAACCUCAAGUAAUCAGAAAUUGAGUACUCAGUUUGGGAGAUAAGUGGAAUGGAAUUAGAAACAGUUCAGUGCAGGCGGUCUGUUAGGGAGUCAGACCAAUUCGAGACUUCAGAUUUCAGGUUGAGUAGAUGUGGCUUUUCUACAUGGGAUUGUUUUAGGAUGGGAUUAUAUGGAAUGAUUUCAAGGAUGAAACCUAAUUUAAGUAGGGGGGAGUUUUAACGCCCUGUCCCCAGUCGUUUACCAUGUGGGUGUGGGGGACAAAAUUUAGAUGAUCCGGGUGUUCAGUUUGUGUUUUGGAGCCAAGGGGUAUUUUGGUAAAGUGUCAGAUCAAGAUUUUAUGGAAAUUGGAUUUUGUUCGGGAAAUAUUAAGCCGCGUAUGAGUUGAUAAAAGCGUAAAGCUUCUCUUUACCUUUUUAUGGAUAUGAGGAUCGUCGAAAUCGGAUUUAUAACAAAGAAGUUAUGGCCUUCAAAGUAUUUUAGGGUUUAAGGGAUACCCUAGUACGCGGGGCAUACAUAGGGAGUACAUGGGGCAUACUAGUGCAAAGUGAAGUACGUUGGGCAUACACUGGUGUAUGAUAAGCGUACCAAGGAGGAAUGAUCAUGAAGCCUUGGCCUCUUACAUUGGGCGUACAAAGGAGUACGCUGGGCAUACGAGGAGUACAUGGAACCCUAAUUUUGAGUGUGUUGUACGCUAUUUAAGUACCUUAAGUCUUAGGGUUGGCCUCUUUACCAGCCCCCAAACCUCCUAAAACCCUUAAUCGACCCUUAAAUAUUCUUUCUGCUGUUCUUGAGCUCUUGAGAAUAUUUUGUUGGUCAUUUUUCCCAUUGUGACGGAAGUAAAGAAGAUUGAAUAUGCUUUUCUUGGUGAGGAGCCUAUAGAUCCAGAAUCAUCACCCUUUUUGCAAGCCUUUAGAGGUAUCAAGUUCAUACCUUCGCUUGUAAAUGCUUAGAUCUCUUUUUAAUUGAUUGGUUAUGUUUUUGAUCCUUUUUUGGGUUGUUUAUUGAGUUAAGACAUUUGAAGGACUUAUUCCUUUAGAUCUGAGCUUAUUGGGAGUUCCUUAAGCAUAAAGGUGCCAACUUUAUGGGGUAUUGGGUCUCAUGCAUGCAUUAAGUCACAUAUUAAGUCCUUUUUAAGCUUAAGAGCUUCAUUUAUCCAUGCAUGAAUGUAAAGUUAGUAACUUUACGUGAUAAAUCAAUCCAAGGAAGUCAGAUCUAGGUUGUGGAGCCGAUUCUUUAUGUAAUAAGAGCUUAAUAUGGAAGUUGGUUAUACACGAGGGUACGUUAGGCGUACAAGAAGGUACGCUUAGUGAUAUUGUCAUAUUUAUACACAUUUUAGGCAAUAACUGAAUACAAUUUUAUACAUAUUUUGGUUAUUUGCAAAGAUAAAUGGUACUUAUAAGAUCGAAUUGUAUUUUGCAGCCAAAAGGAACAUUCUUGAAGGAAAAGGACCAAAAGCGACAAGAUUGGAACUUUGGGGGAUUGGAGCUUAAAAGAUGAAUAUUUCAGAUAAAAGUCAACCUCACGAUGUGAGGAAUUAACUCUCACGACAUCAGUCAUAACAUUUUAGAAGAUAAACAUUUAGAGGACAUAAUACAUGUUCGAUACGGAUUACAACUGAGCUCACGGCGUGAGCUUCUAUAUCUCACAACGUGAGCAGGGUAAUUACCAAAAUCUAUAUAUAUCCUUGGCACUUACAAAUGAAGGACUUCUUCUGGAGAUUUGGAGGUUUUAGAGAGAGAAUUCUGGAGAAAAUAAGCCAGAGGAUUCAAGUGUUAAGCAUCCAAGGAAGAAGAAUUGAUUGAAGAUCAUAAUCUUUACUUAGUUUGGUACAUUCAACUAUGUUUUUAUUUAUUGAAUUUAUGUGGGUGAUUUCAACCAUGAGUAGCUGAAUUUAGCUGCUUCUAUUUAGCUAAAUGAAGCCUCAACUUAUGGAUUAGCUAAAUUGAAUUAUGGAUUUUUAGUAGUUGGUUAUGUUCUUGUGUUAGAUUGUGAAUACCUAGCAUGCUAAUAUUUGAUGCUUUAUUUGCUUGAAUUCAUGUUCUGUGUAGCUUAGUAACUAUUAAAUUACAUGAACUUGACACCUAGUAAUUUAGUGAGCAUUGAAUUACUAGAGCUAGGAUCGAACCAAUCUUAGAUAAGUAAUUAAAGUAACUGAAUUUAGCUGUGUUGGAGAACAUGAAUUAUGACCAAAAUUGUCUUUAAUAAAUAAAUCUUACAUAGCCUCAUUCAUAAUGCAUAGUUGAUUUUGUGUUUGAUUGUGUGUGACCACACAUAGUUUUACAUGAAUUAGUUAAAUAUUAGUAAAUUUGGACUUAAAUUACUAAUAAUACAAAAUUUGGUAACCAACUAUAAUAAUCCAUAAUUGUUAGCUAACCAUAAAGGAGAAGUGGAUUUGAACUAAACGGAAGUGUUUUAAAUAUUUGAUUAAAUAGUUAUUGAGUGAUAAAGUUUGUCUGAGCAAAAUCAGAUAAAAAACAACUUUUGCUUAGAAAUUUAGGUCAGUUUAGUAGUAAUUAGGUUAAUUAAUUAUAUAUGUUCCCUGUGUUCGAUAUCCGAUUGUUUGUGUUAAACUAUAUGUGAAAAUGUCCACUGCCUUUAGUCGAAUAACUAGUUAGAUAGUUGGUAUUUGGUAAAAUUAGGUGUAGUAAUAUUUUGACAUCACUUAGUGUAUAAGCCCUAAGGCAAGUACAUUGCGCGUACUCAAGAGUAGGCCUCAGAACUUUUGGUCUAUGUUUGGGCCAUAGUUUGGGCUUAGAUGUUCAGGGCCUUGUUGGGCCAUCAAAACUUAAGUGUUUUGGACUAAGAAUGUUGUUGAACCUUGGAUUAAAGCUUAUGGAAGGGUUUGGUCCCAAUUUCGAAAAUUAGGCCAUGUUUAGGCCUUGUAUGAUUAUUUGGUAUUUGGGCGUUUUAGAUUAUUAGGUUUGGGAUUAAGUCUUGGUCCAAACUAGGUACGGGGUAAAUUGGUCAUUUACCCUAAUUAUGGUCUGAUGGUUAUGGAUUGGAAUCCAAUUGUUAAUUCAAUGUUAUUUGAUAUUGAUAGUUCGGGGAUUUGUCGUACCAUUAGCCAGGAAGUUAUCGGUGUGGUUCAGUAGUGUGAGGUGAGUCUUCUCACCAUAUCCAUGGGUCGAAGGCACUAAUGUCGACCCAUUAGUUGUAUGGUAGACCCCGGGGUAGCCCAUGGAUAGUUAUGAGAGAGAGAGAGAGAGCGAGACAAUGUGGUGGGUUGCGGUGGGUGUGGGCCCUUUUCUUAUUUUUAAAUAACCAAAAUAACUAAUAAAUGGAAAAACUAAAUCAAAUAGGUAAGAAGUCUUUUCAAGUUUAUGACCAAAUCGACAAUGAAAGUAAGCCUGUUUGUACAGUACCAAAAGAAAAUGAAAAAUCCUUUUUUGCAAUUAUCUAUAAAGAUAAUAACGAAAGGUACGUAGUUUUGGCAUUUUAUAUAUUUACCUUCCAAUUCCUUUUAUAAAUUUGCAAACCAACACAAUUUUUUCUUCUCUUAUUCUCAUCCCAUUACUUGUCAACCAAACACAUGUAAACUUAAAAUUCCUUCAUAUUCUAAUCGUGAUCAAAAUUCCUUUCUAAACAUUUCGCAAACCAAAUGUGCCCUUAGAAGUCACGAUCAAUUCACAUUUUGACAAGGGGAGCAAUAUUCAUCUGAAUUGAAGCCAAAAGAAGUUUGUUAAAGGGUGUUUGUAUAUCCAUUGAAAAUGACUAGUCGACUUGACAUAAAUAACCAUUUUUAAGAGUUCAACAAUAACUCAUUUUGAUUAUAAGAACCAAAUCGUGGAUGUAGGUAACGAAUUGCAUUAAACUAAUUAUUGAGAUUAAAGUAAAUUACAUUACUAACUCCCCAAAAAAUCUCAAGCAAAUUAUACAAAUUGAAGGCCCCAAAAAUCAAGGUAAGCUACUUGCUAGUAGCCUAGCUGCAAACUUAUUUCUAGAUUAAGUGUACUUGUAACAUCCCAAACUACCUUCCACAUCUAUCCGUACUUUCCUCAAGAACUGCCUCGACUCCACCAAGUCCCUUCUACUACUACUGUUGAUCUCAUGCUAAUCUCAUCCUAGGCUUGCCCUAGGUAAUCGCCAUCCCACUCUCUACCAUCAGCUGUACAAGAAGUUCCUGCUUUCUUCCCCUAACUAGCUCGCGGAUACUAUUACAUAUUACUCAAACUAGAUAAUUCUUCAAAUGAGAGGUCAUACCCUACAACGGUUGGACUCAGACAAGAGCUGCGAAAUUGGGCUAGACCAACCUUCUGGAAUUAUUUAGUCCUUGCAAUAUCUAACUUAGCAUAUUCGUUUACUAGUUAGUGAAAGACAACUAGAACUCCUAAAAGCACAUAGCAAGCAACAUUCGGGCAUUGAGUACACAUAAUCAAGUAUAUACUACUCUGGCUAUCAUACUGACUGAUCUGUACUAGCAUACAAUGCUAAUCUCAUACUAUCAGGCAUAACUUAAACAUGUUAUCCCACUACUGUCUACUCAAUACUAGCAUGCAAUUCUUAUAAAUCUGAAGCACAUAAAGUAGGCACAUAAGGCAUCAUUCCUAGAUCCUUAGUCCUAUUCUAGCAUGCUGUUCUACUGAAACUGAAACUAAUAAUCAUAACAUAACUUGUAUGGGUACUUUGGGGAAAACUUACUUGAGCUCGGCUGGUCGCGCGCAUCACACAUUUUCUCAAAACUCUUUUACUUAUCCUUUAGAAAUUCAUUUCUUUAUAAAAAUCUUUUAAUCCCUCGAUUUGAGUCCAGACAUCCCCCCGAAGGUGUGUCCGAAUCCCUCAAACCAGGGCUCUGAUACCAACUUGUAACAUCCCAAAAAUACAGGCCAAAAAUUUCAUUUUUAAAUCAAUGCUUUGGAAAAACAUUUGUGAAUAAACAUCGCCUGAUCAUAUCAUUUCAUAAACAUAUUUCAUGUCUGAAAUCCAACAUAUAAAAACAACCAUAAUGUCAGAGUACAAAAUCCCAGAAUAACUCAUGAUGCGGAAAACAAUGUGUGUGUAAGAUGUGCCGCUACCGCACCAGCUCCUUCCCCUUCGAUGAAGAGGUACCUGAAAAUAAAACUGUAAACUGUAAGCACAAAGCUUAGUGAGUUCCCCCAUCGUCCACAUACCAUACAAUAAUAUAGCAUACAUUUUGCCAGGCAUUUCUGGGGUGCCCAACCUACCCGGUACGGCCAUUCUGGGGUGCCGACCUACCCGUACGGCCAUUCUGGGGUGCCGAUAUACCCAUGCGGCCAUUCUNNNNNNNNNNNNNNNNNNNNNNNNNNNNNNNNNNNNNNNNNNNNNNNNNNNNNNNNNNNNNNNNNNNNNNNNNNNNNNNNNNNNNNNNNNNNNNNNNNNNNNNNNNNNNNNNNNNNNNNNNNNNNNNNNNNNNNNNNNNNNNNNNNNNNNNNNNNNNNNNNNNNNNNNNNNNNNNNNNNNNNNNNNNNNNNNNNNNNNNNNNNNNNNNNNNNNNNNNNNNNNNNNNNNNNNNNNNNNNNNNNNNNNNNNNNNNNNNNNNNNNNNNNNNNNNNNNNNNNNNNNNNNNNNNNNNNNNNNNNNNNNNNNNNNNNNNNNNNNNNNNNNNNNNNNNNNNNNNNNNNNNNNNNNNNNNNNNNNNNNNNNNNNNNNNNNNNNNNNNNNNNNNNNNNNNNNNNNNNNNNNNNNNNNNNNNNNNNNNNNNNNNNCAUACAACUCCUACUGGUGGGCCGGCAUUGUGGCCGUAGACCCACCGCUACUGGAAGGUAACUCACCUCGUAGUAACUGCUGAUCUGUGCGGGAACUCUCUGUCUGCUGCUGCUGCUGCUCCGGAAAUCCUCCGUCUAUAAAUCCCACAAAACACCCUAUCAGAGUCUGAUAUCUACUCUUUGGGUAAAAUGACCAUUUUACCCCUGAUCAAGUCAAGUCAAAGUCAAAGUCAACUUUCAGUUGACCUGACUCGCCGAGUUGGGCCUCCAACUCGUCGAGUCCCUAACCAAUCGAUUGUCCUUACUCCCGUCCCUACUCGUCGAGUAUGGCAUUGACUCGACGAGUUCUCCUUCUAUUCAAAUGUCCAAUGAUCCUUCAUCCGACUCGCCGAGUUGUAUGAACAACUCGUCGAGUUCAUCUUAUCCGAUGAACACUCUAGUCUGGACUCGCCGAGUUGUAUGAACAACUCGUCGAGUCUGUUCUUGAGGCAAGAAGAUUGCAUUGGACUUGCCGAGUCAGGGCAUUGACUCGCUGAGAACCUGCAUUGCUGAGUCUGGCUUCCGAUUCACUGAGUCCACUUAUAACUCACUGAUCCCACUCGGCAUAACUCAAAAGGGGAAAAUCGGGGACUCGUGACUCGACUCGCCGAGUCCGAAGAACGACUUGCCGAGUCGUAUACAUGUAAUCACUAUAUACUCGAUUCUGCUUGAAUCCAGUUCAUUCCAUUCAUAGAUCUAGGUUCUUAGGGUUCGUUUAACACGUAAAGUUUCGCACUUUACGUGUAUAUAAGCAUCAAUGAAGGUUAAAAGGCUCAAAAUGCACUAAAAGAGUAGAUCUAGGGCUUUUCAUGCAAUAUGGCUCCAUAAAGGUAUUAGAUCUGAGCUCCUAGAGCUCAAUCAUGCCUAGAUUUGAAGUCCCUUAACAUUAUAAGCUUAUUACACAAAGAUCAAGACUCAAAGAGGCCUCAAAGUGACUAUUUUAAGCUCUUAAUGAGAUAAUAAUGAAGGAACAGAAAGGGUUUUCGAGUUAUACCUCACUUAACUCUGAAAUGGACUCAAAGCCUUUGCUCUUCUCCUUCUUCUUUAGUCCUUCCUUCCUUCUCUUCUACAAAGCUUCAAGAAAAUCACACAAAAGCACUCAAAUCACCAAAGGAAGGGUUAGGGUUUCGUGAGGGACACUCUGGUUGUGAAUGGGGGCCGACAUGGGGCACAUAAGGAUGUUUAAAUAGAGUGCAAACCCUUGAAAUUAUGGUUUCAUCCAGACUGGAGGAGUCGCCGAGUCCAGAAUAUGAACUCGUCGAGUCGCCAACUUAAACGUGCUCAAUAUCCCGUCUCUACUCCGCGAGUCGGGCCUACAACUCGUCCGGUCCAAGGCUAAAAAUGCAAAAUACUUAGAUCAAUCUUAUGUACCAGGAACCAGGUGCUACAAAUCUCCCCCACUUAUUUUAGACUUCGUCCUCGAAGUCUGCCUCUCGCUCCGGGAAAAGCUCGGGAUAGUGUUCCUUCAUCUCUUCUACCUGCUCCCAAGUCCACUCUGAACCCUUCCGGUGCUGCCAUUGCACCUUUACUAGCUCCACCUUCUUGUUCCUUAGAUUCUUCGUCUUCCGAUCGAGGAUCGCUACUGGUCGCUCAAUGUAGUUCAGGCUGUCAUCAACCUGAAUAUCCUUCAUCUUCCGAUCGAGGAUCNNNNNNNNNUCCACUAGGCACUUCCGCAGCUGGGAGACGUGGAAGGUGAUGUGGAUCUGACUAAGUUCGGCUGGCAGAUCCAGCUUGUACGCUACCUUGCCCAACUUUCCCCGUUUCCUAAAUCGGAUGUCACCCUUCCAUGGCGACACCUUCAGGAGAACCAUAUCCCCGACCUGGAACUCCAGGUCUGAUCGGCGCUUGUCGGCAUAACUUUUCUGUCGACUCUGUGCAGUCUGAAGCCUGCUCCGAAUCUGCUGAAUCCUCUCGGUCGUCUUGAGCACCACUUCGGUGCUCCCCAUGACCCUCUGGCCUACCUCACCCCAACAUAUCGGGGUCCUGCACCUCCUCCCGUACAACAUCUCGAAGGGAGGACGGUCAAUACUCGCGUGGUAGCUAUUGUUGUAUGAAAACUCAGCUAGAGGAAGAUAGGUAUCCCAGCUACCACCGAAGUCUAGCACGCACGCCCGCAACAUAUCCUCCAAAGUCUGGAUGGUCCGCUCACUAUAACCAUCGGUCUGCGGGUGAAAAGCGGUGCUAAAAUGCAGACGAGUACCCAGCUCUUCAUGGAACUUCUUCCAAAUCCUAGAAGUAAACCGUACAUCUCUGUCUGAAAUCACGGAGACUGGCACUCCGUUCCGCGCCACCACCUCUCCGAUCUAGAUAUCGGCUAACUUCUCUGCCAAGAUACUCUCCUGGAUCGGGAUGAAGUGGGCGCUCUUGGUCAACCGAUCCACGAUGACCCAUAUAAAAUCCACUCCCCGUGUGGUCCUUGGAAGCUUGGUGAUAAAAUCCAUCGUGAUGUCUUCCCAUUUCCACAGUGGGAUAUCCAACGGCUGCAUCUUGCCGUGUGGACGCUGGUGCUCGAACUUGACCUUCCUGCAGGUCAAGCACCGCUCAACGUACCAUGCUACAUCCCGCUUCAUGCAGGGCCACAAAUAGUCCAGACGAAGAUCCCUAUACAUCUUCAUUGCCCCUGGAUGAAUGGAAAAUCGGGAUUUGUGCGCCUCCUCCAUCAGAACCUGGCGCACGCCUCCGAGGUAUGGAACCCACACCCUGCGGUGUAAUGUCAAUAAUCCUCUGUUGUCAUAGUCGAAGGAGGAAACCUGACCCACUAUACGCUCACUCUUCCGAUGUUCCUCCUUCAUGGCCUCCUGAAUCCGCUACAAAAGUGGAGUCACCACUUUCAUCCGCAUGCAGAUACCUCUGAUCAGCACCGCCUUGCGGCUAAGCGCAUCAGCCACCACGUUACCUUCCCCGGAUGGUAGAGGAUCUUGCAAUCAUAAUCCUUUACCACAUCAAGCCACGGACGCUACCUCAUGUUCAGAUUUGGCUGGUCCAUGAGAUACCUCAAACUCUUAUGGUCCGUAUCGUACAACGGACCCCAUAGAGGUAAUGACGCCAAAUCUUGAGGGCGAAUACAACAUCCCCCAACUCCAAAUCAUGCAUCGGGUAGUUCGCCUCGUGAGGCUUUAGCUGCCUCGACGCGUAGGCGAUGACAUGCCCUCUCUGCAUCAAUACUGCGCCCAAACCUGAGAUGGAUGCAUCGUAGUACACAACAAAAUCCUCCAUGCCCUCUGGCAGGGCUAAGAUUGGUGCCUCGCACAAUCUCUGUCUCAGAAUCUCGAACGCUGCCUGCUGCUCAGGCCCCCAACGAAAUACCACGACCUUCCUCGUUAGCCUGGUCAUGGGUAAUGCUAUCUUGGAGAAAUCCUGGAUGAGUCUCCGAUAGUAGCCAGCUAAUCCCAGGAAACUCUGAAUCUUAGAUGGAGACUUCGGAACCUCCCAUCUCAUCACGGCCUCUACCUUGGCCGGGUCUACCGAAAUCCCGUUCUGUUUGACAAGGUUCCCAAGAAACUACACCUCGCGCAACCAGAACUCACACUUGGAGAACUUGACAUACAAGUUCUCCCUCCUCAAAGUCUCUAGAACCUCUCACAGAUGCUCCUCGUGCUCCUCCUGUGUCUUGGAAUAAACCAAGAUAUCAUCAAUAAACACUAUUACAGACCGAUCUAACAUCGGUCUGCACACGCGGUUCAUGAGAUCCAUGAACGCGACAGGAGCAUUGGUGAGCCCGAAAGGCAUCACCACGAACUCAUAGUGGCCAUAACGCGUCCAAAACGCCGUCUUCUGUACAUCCUCCUCUAUGACCCUCAUCUGAUGAUACCCUGAACGCAAAUCAAUCUUGGAGAACCAAGAUGCUCCCUGUAGCUGGUCAAAGAGGUCGUCAAUCCUCGGGAGUGGGUAACGGUUCUUCUCCGUUACCUUAUUCAGCUCCCUAUAGUCUAUACACAUACGAUGCGACCCGUCCUUCUUCUUCACAAAAAGAAUCGGGGCUCCCCAAGGCGAAUUACUCGGCCUGAUAAAUCCCUUGUCUAGCAGCUCCUUCAGCUGCGUAGACAACUCCUGCAUCUCGGGAGGAGCCAACCGAUAUGGUGCCUUGGCUAUCGGAGCCUCACCAGGGACCAGGUCGAUCCUGAAGUCCACCUGUCGCUCCGGAGGUAUCCCUGGCAACUCCUCGGGGAAUACAUCCGCAAACUCUCGUACCACGGGCACAUCGCCCACCGUCGCCCUACCCGUCUCCCGGGUACCCAUAAUAUACGUGACAUAUCAUGUGCAACCCUGCUGAAGGUAAUGCCUAGCUCUCGUUGUUGAACACAAAGAUGGUCCUUGCUGUGGCCUCUCGCCCUGAAUCACUAACUCUCCCCCACCUGGGGUCCUGACUCGCACUAGCUGUUGUGCGCAAUCUAUCACUGCCCCAUUAGGGCUGAGCCAAUCCAUGCCUAUAAUCACCUUGUUCCCACGUAAUGGAAUGGGAACCACGUCUACCAAGUAGCGCUCCUCAAAUAACCUCAGCACACAGUCUCGGAAGACCUCAGAUGCUCGCACUGACCGAUCAUCUGCAAUCUCGACCUCUAGAGGGCAAUCCAACAUGCCCGAAGACUCAAAAAACUUCUUGCUAAGCGCAAGAGAAAAAAAUGAUCAGGUAGCACCCGAAUCAAACAAUACAUGAACUGGGAUACCGUUCACAUGGAGUGAUCCUAAACAGAGAACAUAUCAAUAUCAUAAAUAAAUCAGAGGGAAAGAAUCGUACCCGUCACCACAUCGGGUGCGGUGCGUGCCUCCUCGGUCGUCAACUGAAAAUCCCGACUCCUCACCACUGGAGCCUCUGCCUUGCCCUACCUGUCAUCUGUAAUCCGCAGGGUCGUUGGGGCUGGCGCCUUCACUGGCGCUGCUGCUGUCAACUGGGGGCAAUUAGCCUUCUUGUGGCCCCUCUGGUUUCAGUGGAAACACAUCAACUCUGACGUCUGUAACACAGGUGCAAGGGCGGUACAAUCCCUGCUGAAGUGCCCUGUCUUGCCGCAUUUAUAGCAGCCCUACGAUCCCAACCUACAUGCCCCCUGAUGUGGCCUGCCGCAUUUCCUGCAGCGGCCUGAUCCUGUCUGGCCUUUCGGCCUACCAUCUGAUCCCUUGGGCUUCUUCCCCGAAACCCCUAUCGUCUGUCCCUCCUCUGUCUUCCUAUUCUGGAUGUGCUCCGGAUCUAUCUCCCUCUCCCUCGCCCUGGAAAUCAUAGAAUCCAGGGUAGGGCAAGCUGAAAAACUGACAUGCUCCCGAAUGUCGGCUUGCAGCUUGUCGUGGUAGCGGGUCCUCCUCAUAUCCUCGUCACCCGCAUACUGGGGCACCAAUAACGCCCUCUCCCAGAACUUGGUGGUGAUCUCCGCCACUGUCUCCGUCAUCUGUCUCAUGUCCAAAAACUCUCUGGCUAACUACUGGAGCUCCACCGCAGGUGCGAACUCCGCUCUGAACCGGGUCACAAAGUCCGGCCAUGUCAUAGCCUCAACAGCCGAGGCUCCCAAUGAGUCACCAACAGACUCCCACCAGUCUCUAGCUCUGUCUCUCAAACACCCUGCUGCAUAUCUCACCUUCGACCCCUCGGGGCAGAAGCUGAUCAACUGCGCAGACUCAAUGUCUGCGAUCCAUCAUCUGGCCACAAUGGGGUCCUUCGCACCAUGGAAAUCCGUCGCAACACUGCUCCUGAAGUCCUUGAAGGACAGUGUGCGAGAUCUUGACUGGCCAGAUGCCAUGUCACUCCUGAACGCCCUGAGGCGGUCCUCCAUCAGCUCCACUAUCCCUUCCUUGAUCGACCCGAAAAUGAUUGGUGUCGACUCAAGGAUGCCUCUGGUGAUCUCUGACGCGAUGAACUCGCGUAGCCUCUCAACCACUGGUUCGGAACCUGAACCCGAACCCGAUCUCUCUCCCAAACUACCAACUGCUGGCCUCGAACGUAGUACCACCAUUCUGCAAUACAUAACGACAACUGUCAGUGGUACUGAUACAUCUAGAGGGAUCACAUCUACUGCAAGGUUCCUGGUCUCGCCUCAGCCUUCCUCAAUUAAAGUACGGAUCCUCUGCUUCCAGUGGUACGUGCCCAUACUACCUUCCACAAUUAUCCGUACUUUCCUCAAGAACUGCCUCGACUCCACCAAGUCCCUUCUACUACUACUGCUGAUCUCAUGCUAAUCUCAUCCUAGGCUUGCCCUAGGUAAUCGCCAUCCCACUCUCUGCCAUCAGCUGCACAAGAAGUUCCUGCUUUCUUCCCCUAACUAGCUCGCGGAUACUAUUACAUAUUACUCAGACUAGAUAAUUCUUCGGAUGAGAGGUCCUACUCUACAACGGUUGGACUCAGACAAGAGCUGCGAAAUUGGGCUAGACCCAACCUUCUGGAAUUAUUUAGUCCUUGCAAUAUGUAACUUAGCAUAUUCGUUUACUAGUUAGUGAAAGACAACUAGAACUCCUAAAAGCACAUAGCAAGCAACAUUCGGGCAUUGAGUACACAUAAUCAAGUAUAUACUACUCUGGCUAUCGUACUGACUAUCUGUACUAGCAUACAAUGCUAAUCUCAUACUAUCAGGCAUAACCUAAACAUGCUAUCCCACUACUGUCUACUCAAUACUAGCAUGCAAUUCUUAUAAAUCUAAAGCACAUAAAGUAGGCAUAUAAGGCAUCAUUCCUAGAUCCUUAGUCCUAUUCUAGCAUGCUGUUCUACUGAAACUGAAACUGAUAAUCAUAACAUAACUUGUAUGGGUACUUUGGGGAAAACUUACUUGAGCUCGGCUGGUCGCGCGCAUCACACACUUCGUUUUUUCUCAAAACUCUUUUACUUAUCCUUUAGAAAUUCAUUUAUUUAUAAAAAUCUUUUAAUCCCUCGAUUUGAGUCCAGACAUCCCCCCGAAGGUGUGUCCGAAUCCCUCAAACCAGGGAUCUGAUACCAACUUGUAACAUCCCAAAAAUACAGGCCAAAAAUUUCAUUUUUAAAUCAAUGCUUUGGAAAAACAUUUGUGAAUAAACAUCGCCUGAUCAUAUAAUUUCAUAAACAUAUUUCAUGUCUGAAAUCCAACAUAUAAAAACAACCAUAAUGUCAGAGUACAAAAUCCCAGAAUAACUCAUGAUGCGGAAAACAAUGUGUGUGUAAGAUGUGUCGCUACCGCGCCAACUCUUUCCCCUUCGAUGAAGAGGUACCUGAAAAUAAAACUAUAAACUGUAAGCACAAAGCUUAGUGAGUUCCCCCAUCAUCCACAUACCAUACAAUCAUAUAGCAUACAUUCUGCCAGGCAUUUCUGGGGUGCCCAACCUACCCGGUACGGCCAUUCUGGGGUGCCGACCUACCCGUACGGCCAUUCUGGGGUGCCGAUCUACCCAUGCGGCCAUUCUGGGGUGUCGUCCUACCCGUGUCAAGCCAUUCUGGGGUGCUGAUUUACCCAUGUCGAGCCAUUCUGGGGUGUUGACUACCCUUCGGUUCUAACAACCGAACCUCAGGGACUAUUUCACCCUUACUACUACUAUCACAUAUAUCAUAUGAUAAUCUAUUGUCAGACAUAUCUGGGGUGUCCGACCUACCCUUCGCUCCUAACAACCGAAUCUCGGGGACUAUUCCCCCUCCUACUACCUCUAUCUCAUAUAACUUAUCAUGCUAGCUGCUAAACAUAUCAUAACAUACUGUUAGGCAUAUCUGGGGUGCCUAACCUACCCUUCGGUCCUAACAACUGAACUCUAUCACUAUCACAUAUCAUAUCACGCUAGCAUAUAACAUAUCAGGUAGUAGCAACACAGAUGAAUAUCACAAAGACAAACAUCUAUCAUACGAUCCCUACUGGUGGGCCGGCAUUGUGGCCGUAGACCCACCGCUACUGGAAGGGAACUCACCUCGUAGUAACUGCUGAUAUGUGCGGGAACUCUCUGUCUGCUGCUGCUGCUCUGGAAAUCCUCCGUCUAUAAAUCCCACAAAACACCCUAUCAGAGUCUGAUAUCUACUCUUUGGGUAAAAUGACCAUUUUACCCCUGAUCAAGUCAAGUCAAAGUCAAAGUCAACUUUCAGUUGACCUGACUCGCCGAGUUGGGCCUCCAACUCGUCGAGUCCCUAACCAAUCGAUUGUCCUUACUCCCGUCCCUACUCGUCGAGUUUGGCAUUGACUCGACGAGUUCUCCUUCUAUUCAAAUGUCCAAUGAUCCUUCAUCCGACUCGCCGAGUUGUAUGAACAACUCAUCGAGUUCAUCUUCAUCCGAUGAACACUCUGGUCUGGACUCGCCGAGUCCCUGCAUUGCUAAGUCUGGCUUCCGAUUCACUGAGUCCACUUAUAACUCACUGAUCCCACUCGACAUAACUCAAAAGGGGAAAAUCGGGGACUCGCGACUCGACUCGUCGAGUCCGAAGAACAACUCGCCGAGUCGUAUACAUGCAAUCACUAUAACUCGAUUCUGAUUGAAUCCAGUUCAUUCCAUUCAUAGAUCUAGGUUCUUAGGGCUCGUUUAACACGUAAAGUUUCCAACUUUACGUGUAUAUAAGCAUCAAUGAAGGUUAAAAGGCUCAAAAUGCACUAAAAGAGUAGAUCUAGGGCUUUUCAUGCAAUAUGGCUCCAUAAAGGUAUUAGAUCUGAGCUCCUAGAGCUCAAUCAUGCCUAGAUUUGAAGUCGCUUAACAUUAUAAGCUUAUUACUCAAAGAUCAAGACUCGAAGAGGCCUCAAAGUGACUAUUUUAAGCUCUUAAUGAGAUAAUAAUGAAGGAACAGAAAGGGUUUUCGAGUUAUACCUCACUUAACUCUGAAAUGGACUCAAAGCCUUUGCUCUUCUCCUUCUUCUUUGGUCCUUCCUUCCUUAUCUUCUACAAAGCUUCAAGAAAAUCACACAAAAGCACUCAAAUCACCAAAGGAAGGGUUAGGGUUUCGUGAGGGACACUCUGGUUGUGAAUGGGGGCCGACAUGGGGGCACAUAAGGAUGUUUAAAUAGGUUGCAAACCCUUGAAAUUAGGGUUUCAUCCAGACUGACGGACUCGUCGAGUCCAGAAUAUGGACUCGUUGAGUCGCCAACUUAAACGUGCUCAAUAUCCCGUCUCUACUCGGCAAGUCGGGCCUACAACUCGCCGACUCCAAGGCUAAAAAUGCAAAAUACUUAGAUCAAUCUUACGUAAGUGCUACAGUACUGACUGUCUUGAUUUCAAGUAAAGCACAAACUUGAGGCUCGUAGAAGAAAUAAUAGGCUGAGAUGUUUUUGAGAUAAAUUGCAGUAACCAAACUUAGAUAUUUAUGCAAUGUUUAAAAUAUAGACAUGUUUCAGAUAGUCAAGAAAUAAGUGUCGGACAGAAACUUCAAAAUUAUUAUGUUUUACCAUUAAACUCAACCGAAACAGAAGGAUUACAAACACACCAAGGAGGCAGCAGGUGAAACUGUUGACCCUUUUUGCCGAGUGAUUCUCUACCUUCAUAAAUUGAAUGAGAAUAAUCAUUAAAUUUAAGAAAUCAACACUACGUUUAUCUGUUUGAAAAUAAAAGAAGCUUUGCAUAACAUAUGAUCAAAGAAUUAGAAAGAAUAAUCCAUAAAAAUUCAGUUUGAAAAGCAUUCGUUUUUUACUUACCUGGAAAAGUAAGAAGCGAAUGACCUAGAAAAGAAGCCCAAACUAUGCAAGAAGAUUAAAUUAAAUAAAUAUCAUGAACCACCUAAAAACUCAAACCAUUGACGUUUUGGGGAAAGUAAAGUCUAAGCAAGAAAAACAGAGCCUUCAAAAUUCUGCGAAUUCAAUUCAUUGUAGGUAGAGUAUAAUAGAGAAAUAAAAUAAAUAAAUAAAUAAAUAAGUGAAAAAUGCCAAAAGCAAUCGAUUACAACUAUUAUGUGGGAAACAUGGAUCGCUUAAUUGAAAUUACUAUUUAAACCAAAUGUACUAAAAAAACGAAAAAAAUAAAAUCAUUAAGUUGUUGAAGCCAUAGCCGAGUCAGCAAAAGAAUGUCUUUCAGUUCAUGUUUUUUUCUUUACACCAAGUAACCACUCCAAAGAACAGAUUUAACAAAAAAGCAACUAAAUAUAGCAAUUGCUUGGGUUAACAAAUCAUUAAACUGGAGGGGGUUAUGAAAUUACUAGAAAAUAGUUCAAUAGCCUUAAUUAGAAGAAUAAUCAAGUGAGUAUCACAACAAGUCUAUUCAAUCAGAUAAUGGACGAAGGAAAGAGGUGCACUAGAAGCAAAGCUAAGGCAUGAACCCUGGUAAAUGUAACUUUACCUAUGCUAUAUAGCUGACUUCAAAAUAAGCCAAACUGCACGUGUGAAUUCAAAUGUUCCUCUAGAACUGCCAUCCUUGUAGGAGAUUACAACAAAGUGGUAAAAUAGAGAGUAAUGUAAAGUUUUUGUUGGAAAAAACAUUAAUCUUUUAAUAAAUAACCAAAGGAGACACCACAUACCUCUUGUUGUUUGUUCUUUAUAAACGAUCCAAAAGUUGUAUCUAUGAACUUCAGCUCCGGAGUAGUUGACUGUUUGUGAAAACUGUUAUUUCCGGACAAUCUUUGAUUUCCAAAGCAGUUAACGAUGGCCAUUCAAAAGCCUCCUUCCCCAGGCAAAAUCCCUUGAGAUUUGGAAGCUUUUCAAGUGUUAUGGAUUUCAGACAAGGGAACACAACCUCAAGUAGUCGGUCUGGUUUCAGAAUCUUCAACUUGCUUCACAAUCACAUCCAUACUCUCGCAGUCAGUUAUUUGUAGCUCUUGGAGCCGCAAUAGACUACCAACCAUGCAACCUGUGAAAACGUGUCCAAGAAGUGGACAUUUAUUAAUUGAGACCUUUGUAAGGUUUGGAAAGUUCAACACUAUCCUCCGAUUGCGCUUCCACAUAUGCUUCAGAUUAUCUAUUCCACUCAAAGUCACCUCUUUUAGCUUCUCAAAUACCACAACA
This 37209-nucleotide long non-coding RNA is filed under the name Lactuca sativa (garden lettuce). RNAcentral describes it as "long non-coding RNA (LSAT_LNC001016)". The record is from RNAcentral. Lineage: Eukaryota; Viridiplantae; Streptophyta; Magnoliopsida; Asterales; Asteraceae.